AGCAGCCGCGGUAAUUCCAGCUCCAAUAGCGUAUAUUAAAGUUGCUGCAGUUAAAAAGCUCGUAGUUGAAUUUCGGGACCAUCAUGUCGGUCGUGCCUCGGUACGUACUGGCAUUGUUGGUUUCUCCCUUCUGACGAACCAUGAUGUCAUUUAUUUGGUGUCGUGGGAAAUCAGGACUGUUACUUUGAAAAAAUUAGAGUGUUUAAAGCAGGCUCACGCUUGAAUACAUUAGCAUGGAAUAAUGAAAUAGGACGUUUGAUUCUAUUUUGUUGGUUUCUAGGAUCGACGUAAUGAUUAAUAGGGAUAGUUGGGGGCAUUAGUAUUCAAUUGUCAGAGGUGAAAUUCUUGGAUUUAUUGAAGACUAACUACUGCGAAAGCAUUUGCCAAGGAUGUUUUCAUUAAUCAAGAACGAAAGUUAGGGGAUCGAAGACGAUCAGAUACCGUCGUAGUCUUAAACCAUAAACUAUGCCGACUAGGGAUCGGAUGAUGUUAAUUUUUAAUGACUCAUUC
This 510-nucleotide ribosomal RNA is filed under the name uncultured Glomus. RNAcentral describes it as "SSU rRNA". It matches the Rfam family "Eukaryotic small subunit ribosomal RNA", at positions 569 to 1081 of the family's 1831-position model. The record is from RNAcentral. Lineage: Eukaryota; Fungi; Glomeromycota; Glomeromycetes; Glomerales; Glomeraceae.